RNAcentral lists this ribosomal RNA (600 nucleotides) under uncultured bacterium. RNAcentral's name for it is "bacterial SSU rRNA". It matches the Rfam family "Bacterial small subunit ribosomal RNA", at positions 76 to 675 of the family's 1533-position model. The record is from RNAcentral.
GCAAUACUAUUGGUGGCGACCGGCGCACGGGUGAGUAACACGUAUGCAACCUACCCUUUAUCGGGGGAUAACCCGGAGAAAUCCGGACUAAUACCGUAUGAAGAUAUGUUUUCUCAUGAGAAUAUAUUUAAACGACAAGGAUAAAGGAUGGGCAUGCGUAUGAUUAGUUAGUUGGUAGGGUAACGGCCUACCAAGGCGACGAUCAUUAGGGGUUCUGAGAGGAAGGUCCCCCACACUGGUACUGAGACACGGACCAGACUCCUACGGGAGGCAGCAGUGAGGAAUAUUGGUCAAUGGGCGAGAGCCUGAACCAGCCAAGUCGCGUGCAGGAAGAAUGUCCUAUGGAUUGUAAACUGCUUUUCCGGUAGAAUAAAAUGAUCCAUGUAUGGAUUUUUGCAAGUAUACCGGGAAUAAGGAUCGGCUAACUCCGUGCCAGCAGCCGCGGUAAUACGGAGGGUGCAAGCGUUAAUCGGAAUUACUGGGCGUAAAGCGCACGCAGGCGGUCUGUCAAGUCGGAUGUGAAAUCCCCGGGCUCAACCUGGGAACUGCAUCCGAAACUGGCAGGCUAGAGUCUUGUAGAGGGGGGUAGAAUUCCAGGUG